RNAcentral lists this ribosomal RNA (513 nucleotides) under uncultured bacterium. RNAcentral's name for it is "bacterial SSU rRNA". It matches the Rfam family "Bacterial small subunit ribosomal RNA", at positions 917 to 1429 of the family's 1533-position model. The record is from RNAcentral.
GGGCCCGCACAAGCGGUGGAGCAUGUGGUUUAAUUUCGACCCAACGCGAAGAACCUUACCUGGGCUUGACAUGCACGGGAUAGCCCCCGAAAAGGGGUUUCUCUUCGGAGUCCGUGUGCAGGUGCUGCAUGGCUGUCGUCAGCUCGUGUCGUGAGAUGUUGGGUUAAGUCCCGCAACGAGCGCAACCCUUACCUUUAGUUGCCAGCGGGUUAUGCCGGGAACUCUAGAGGGACUGCCGGUGACAAACCGGAGGAAGGUGGGGAUGACGUCAAGUCCUCAUGGCCUUUAUGCCCAGGGCUACACACGUGCUACAAUGGCCGGUACAAAGAGUCGCAAGACCGCGAGGUGGAGCUAAUCUCAUAAAGCCGGUCUCAGUUCGGAUUGGAGUCUGCAACUCGACUCCAUGAAGUUGGAAUCGCUAGUAAUCGUGGAUCAGCAUGCCACGGUGAAUACGUUCCCGGGCCUUGUACACACCGCCCGUCACACCACGAAAGCCGACUGUACCAGAAGUCA